RNAcentral lists this ribosomal RNA (418 nucleotides) under uncultured beta proteobacterium. RNAcentral describes it as "bacterial SSU rRNA". It matches the Rfam family "Bacterial small subunit ribosomal RNA", at positions 9 to 431 of the family's 1533-position model. Lineage: Bacteria; Pseudomonadati; Pseudomonadota; Betaproteobacteria. The record is from RNAcentral.
GAGUUUGAUCCUGGCUCAGAUUGAACGCUGGCGGAAUGCUUUACACAUGCAAGUCGAGCGGCAGCGCGGGGCAACCUGGCGGCGAGCGGCGAACGGGUGAGUAAUGCAUCGGAACAUGUCCAUGUCGUGGGGGAUAGCCCGGCGAAAGCCGGAUUAAUACCGCAUAUGCCCGAGAGGGGAAAGUGGGGGACCGCAAGGCCUCACGCGAUUGGGUUGGCCGAUGUCCGAUUAGCUAGUUGGCGGGGUAAGAGCCCACCAAGGCGAUGAUCGGUAGCUGGUCUGAGAGGAUGAUCAGCCACACUGGGACUGAGACACGGCCCAGACUCCUACGGGAGGCAGCAGUGGGGAAUUUUGGACAAUGGGGGAAACCCUGAUCCAGCCAUUCCGCGUGAGUGAAGAAGGCCUUCGGUUGUAAGAC